Molecule: unclassified non-coding RNA, 172 nt
Filed under: Colletotrichum gloeosporioides
Lineage: Eukaryota; Fungi; Ascomycota; Sordariomycetes; Glomerellales; Glomerellaceae
Description: ITS1
Source: RNAcentral
ACUGAGUUUACGCUCUACAACCCUUUGUGAACAUACCUACAACUGUUGCUUCGGCGGGUAGGGUCUCCGCGACCCUCCCGGCCUCCCGCCUCCGGGCGGGUCGGCGCCCGCCGGAGGAUAACCAAACUCUGAUUUAACGACGUUUCUUCUGAGUGGUACAAGCAAAUAAUCA